GAUGAAGAACGCAGCGAAAUGCGAUAAGUAAUGUGAAUUGCAGAAUUCAGUGAAUCAUCGAAUCUUUGAACGCACAUUGCGCCCGCCAGUAUUCUGGCGGGCAUGCCUGUUCGAGCGUCAUUACAACCCUCAGGCCCCCGGGCCUGGCGUUGGGGAUCGGCGGAGCCCCCCGUGGGCACACGCCGUCCCCCAAAUGCAGUGGCGGUCCCGCCGCAGCUUCCAUCGCGUAGUAGCUAACACCUCGCGACUGGAGAGCGGCGCGGCCACGCCGUAAAACACCCAACUCUUCUGAAGUUGACCUCGAAUCAGGUAGGAAUACUCGCUGAACUUAAGCAUAUCAAUAAGCGGAGGA
Molecule: unclassified non-coding RNA, 352 nt
Filed under: soil metagenome
Description: partial contains 5.8S ribosomal RNA, internal transcribed spacer 2, and large subunit ribosomal RNA
Rfam family: 5.8S ribosomal RNA (bases 1-120)
Source: RNAcentral